UACGUAGGGGGCAAGCGUUGUCCGGAAUCAUUGGGCGUAAAGAGCGCGUAGGCGGCCCGGUAAGUCCGCUGUGAAAGUCAAGGGCUUAACCCUUGAAUGCCGGUGGAAACUGCCGGGCUAGAGUCCGGAAGAGGCGAGUGGAAUUCCUGGUGUAGCGGUGAAAUGCGCAGAUAUCAGGAGGAACACCAAUGGCGAAGGCAGCUCGCUGGGACGGUACUGACACUGAGGCGCGAAAGCGUGGGGAGCGAACAGG
Molecule: ribosomal RNA, 253 nt
Filed under: uncultured bacterium
Lineage: Bacteria
Description: partial 16S ribosomal RNA
Rfam family: Bacterial small subunit ribosomal RNA
Source: RNAcentral